RNAcentral lists this ribosomal RNA (403 nucleotides) under uncultured bacterium. RNAcentral describes it as "partial 16S ribosomal RNA". It matches the Rfam family "Bacterial small subunit ribosomal RNA", at positions 30 to 526 of the family's 1533-position model. The record is from RNAcentral.
AUUGAACGCUGGCGGCAGGCCUAACACAUGCAAGUCGAGCGAGCGGAGGACGGGUGAGUAAUGUAUGGGGACUGCCCGAUAGAGGGGGAUAACUACUGGAAACGGUAGCUAAUACCGCAUACUAUCGGAUAACCCAUAUGGGAGUAGCUAGUAGGUGAGGUAAUGGCUCACCUAGGCGACGAUCCCUAGCUGGGCUGAGAGGAUGAUCAGCCACACUGGGACUGAGACACGGCCCAGACUCCUACGGAGGCAGCAGUGGGGAAUAUUGCACAAUGGGCGAAAGUCUGAUGCAGCCAUGCCGCGUGUAUGAAGAAGGCCUUCGGGUUGUAAAGUACUGUCAGUCGGGAGGCGUUACCGACAGAAGAAGCACCGGCUAACUCCGUGCCAGCAGCCGCGGUAAUUC